UACGAACCGUGCAAACGUUGUUCGGAUUCACUGGGCUUAAAGGGCGCGUAGGCGGGCGGUCAAGUCAGGGGUGAAAGCCUCCAGCUCAACUGGAGAAGUGCCUCUGAUACUGAUCGUCUUGAGGGAGGUAGGGGCAUGUGGAACUCAGGGUGGAGCGGUGAAAUGCGUAGAUAUCCUGAGGAACGCCGGUGGCGAAAGCGACGUGCUGGACCUCUUCUGACGCUGAGGCGCGAAAGCCAGGGGAGCAAACGGG
Molecule: ribosomal RNA, 253 nt
Filed under: uncultured bacterium
Lineage: Bacteria
Description: partial 16S ribosomal RNA
Rfam family: Bacterial small subunit ribosomal RNA
Source: RNAcentral